GGGGAUAUGGCGGAAUUGGUAGACGCUACGGACUUAAAAUCCGUCGAAUUUUGAAAUCGUGAGGGUUCGAGUCCCUCUAUCCCCA
Molecule: transfer RNA, 85 nt
Filed under: Corallorhiza bentleyi
Lineage: Eukaryota; Viridiplantae; Streptophyta; Magnoliopsida; Asparagales; Orchidaceae
Also listed under: 3 other names
Description: tRNA-Leu
Rfam family: tRNA
About the family: Transfer RNA (tRNA) molecules are approximately 80 nucleotides in length.
Source: RNAcentral